This is a non-coding RNA of Pelobates cultripes (western spadefoot toad), 384 nucleotides long. NCBI's taxonomy places the organism in Eukaryota, Metazoa, Chordata, Amphibia, Anura, Pelobatidae. The record is from the annotation of a GenBank genome assembly.
UCCCUCUUUUGAACCAACAUAUUUUACUAUGCAAUCAUCGAAUUUAGAGAUUGCGUGUUAAAAAACCUGGAACAAAAACAUACAAUUUCCACUUGCAACUACUAUAUGUCUUCAUUCCUAAACAGGAAAUUACUGUAUAUGACUGCCUAGGAAUCAGACAUGAAAACUGAAAUUCAUCUGAUUGGCAUAAAAUAAAAGAAGCAUUAAAAGUUUUGACCUUAUGCUCAAAACAUAUAGAGAACCACAAAAGUUAUUUGCUGUUGGUACUUGGUGCCCACCAAACUCAAGAAAAUUUUAACAUGCACUUCAGAUGUAUGCUGGAGGGAAUGUGUAGAGAAUGUCUGCUAGCAUUCAUCACAUUUGGCAAUGAAACAAGCUAAGACC